UACAAUGACUUUAUCCAAAUUCACUCAGUAAACAAAGUGUUGAAUAUGGCGUACGAAAGUUCGUAGCUGUCAUUAAUUUUAUUUCAAACUUCAACAAAUUAUAGCGAGAUGAACGUAUGAUCGAUUAGAUGUUGAAUCGACGGAGUACGAUAAUUAAAGAGGAAGAUUUCAUUCGCCUUCGCAUCCAUAACAGCUCGGGUAUGUUUUGUGCGGUUGCGCAGAUAAAAUUUUAAAUUUUUACAAUAAUAAUGUUUUGUAACAUAACAUAUUUCCACCCUUCUUCCAGAAGAUUGGGGUGUUACACUCUUGCAUGUACGAGGAGUUGCUGACCACUACACCACCGAGGAAACAAUCUGUGUGGGAUUGUUAUGGGGUCCAGACAACUGGCCCCUCGGGGGGGGGGGGAAUCAGAAGGAUAGGAGGUCACUGUUCGGGAGGUAGUCAUCAUCGUCGGUUCUUGGAAUUCCCUCACAAAGCUUGUGGAUAUCAGGAUGAAACGUCAGCACGACCGGAUUUAACUGAUUAUGCGUUCAUGUGUAUCAAGCAAAAAACUGUUAUGGAUAGCCAUUUUGUCCGUCAGGUUUGGGUCACGUGUCGAUAAUUGUCUGUUAGGUUCUGAAUGUGGAAAUAGGAUUAAAGGUUGGGUGCAGAGUGCUCUCGGUUUAAUGGUACAUGUUUAUUCUACCUUUGUAUGAUUGACGACCACCGAGUGUGUUGUUGAUGCGAAAGUGUUUGCUGCAUCGUGAAAAUUUCUGUCCACCAAUUUAUUAUGAUGACUUCAAUUUAUGUUUGAUCUCCUACUACGGAAUGCUUGGUUCCACUUGCAGAUGACGAAGUUGGUUCAGUCUGUAAAUAAUAAAUAACAAAGCAGAAUAUGUUUCUUUUUUUUUUGUUGAAAGAUCUU
Molecule: long non-coding RNA, 904 nt
Organism: Chrysoperla carnea
Lineage: Eukaryota; Metazoa; Arthropoda; Insecta; Neuroptera; Chrysopidae
Exons: 3
Source: RefSeq, a predicted model, not a curated record